Theobroma cacao (cacao) is the source of this 4396-nucleotide non-coding RNA. Lineage: Eukaryota; Viridiplantae; Streptophyta; Magnoliopsida; Malvales; Malvaceae. The record is from RefSeq and is a predicted model, not a curated record.
AGGAAUUGGGAUGCAACACCUUAUCAUUUUACUUUAAAGGGCACGUUUUCCCUGGCUUUAAGUCGUAACUUGUAAGCUGUACAACUCCGCAGUCCACACUCAUGGUCAUGGGAUGGAGGGCUACUGGAGGAGUGCAUGACAGUUGACACACAACACAAAACCAAUCCACAGCCAGCCACAUGUCAUAUCCCAUUAGAUUUCCCGCCCCCUUUUGAAGCCUAACAACUCGGAAGAAAUCACAGAACUCUUUCAAGGGUUGUGAUUCCUUGAAAAGAUUACUUAUGUCAGCAUUCCAGCCAGGGUUUAUGGCUGAUUUUCUAUGCUUUCCUGCAUAUGCGGUAUCCAAUUCCUAAAUGCUAUCUAUGGUUGUUGGGCAUGUAGGUAGUUUUCUAAGCUUUGAUGCAUAUGGGUUUCUAUUUUUCUUGUUUUAAAGUUUUUGUUAUUUGCACUUAUGGAUUCCUCCUGACAUUUUGAUUUCUCUUUGCAUUUAUUUGUUUGGGUCUUUGUUUCUACAGAUUUCACCUUUUUUCAUCGUUCCGGUUUGUUUGGUAGUUUACAAACUAUGAAGAACCUAGAAUAUUAGGUCAUCUUCUGCAGCCAUGUUGCUUGUAAGCACCAAAAACUUCUGGCACCUAGGGUCUUUUCUUCACUGUGAUAGGGUUGAGAGAUGAUAUAGUGGUUGUAGUUCAACGUUUUCAUUCUUGUCAGUUACUGACAGUCGAUGGUUCCUCAUCAAUCAUACAAGGCUCCAUUUCAUUAAGAAUUCUUACUUUGGGUAAUUAUCUUAAGGAGUUGUAGAAUUUUGCAUUUAACUAGGAAACCUUGUAAUUUCCAGAAUUGCAGGUCAUGUAAAAGCUCUGGCUUAAGGAGAAAUUCUUGCAACACUGACUUAAAUAAGUACUUAUGGUUUUAGAUGAGAUCAAGAGUUUGAACAUGGUAUGUGCUACUAUGAUUUGGGGCUAUUCUUCUAACUGCUCCCUUAUUUAGCACUCUUGUUUUUCUUCUGGUUUCCUUUCUGGAUAUAUCUUGACUAAACUUGAAUUCCACAAGUAUUUAGGUUAGAUAUUCUGCUUCUCAAGAUGGCUGAUAAGGUAUUAACAGGAAAGCCAAUAGAAAGAUUUAUGGACUUGUGUUGUAGGGAAACUUCUGGCAGACGGCACCAAAUGACAUAGCCAAGGAUUCUGACCUGAUUAUAGGGAGUCUGACAAAAGAAAUGAUGAGGAAGGUUGUUAAGGGGAGAUCUAAGGGAGGUAAAUAUAGAGGAACAGAAAGCUUGACAGAAAAUUGUACUGAUAAUUUUAAGGGAAAAGAAAGUACUAAACAGAUGACUAUGAAAGGUAACUCCAAGGCAGAGUGCUCUAAGCAGGAGGAGAGUCAGACUGGUGAAAGGGUUCCCAUUGGCAAUGGACAGACAGAGGUAGACAACACUGUCCAGAAAGAGGACAACAAGAACAUAGACACUCCAAUGAUGCAAAAGAGGGGUGCAGAUGGAGAAACAGUUUGUGCGUAUUUCUCAUCUUCACAGAAAAGUUAGUCUAGGCUUCAUCCUAGGAAAGAGGUUCCUGCUUUCCGCAUGGUUAAUCUGGAGGAGAAUGACAAUGAAUUUGUAGUUGGCAAAAGAGUCAAGGUCUACUGGUCAGGUUCACGCAGAUGGUUCACAGGACGCAUUGUUGCUUUUGAUAACAAGAAUUGCCUACAUAGGAUUCUGUAUGAAGAUGGUGACAAAGAGGUGUUGGACUUAAGAAAAGAACGGUUUGAACUCAAGGUAAUGCCAACUGACAGUUUCAAGUUGAAAAGGGAGCUGUGUUCUGAAAGAAAAGUUGGUAGUUUAGAUUCUGCCAACAGUAGGAAUAUGUGAUGAAAGAGAACUCAAGAAAUGUUAAUGGUGCAGCAGUGACAAAUGUUAAUAUCUUUUCAGAAACUGCUAAAAGAGCUACUAAAGAAUUUGAAGCAGAAGUUACUGUAGUGAAGUCUCAUUCUGACUUCUGGAGCAUGGGAUCAGACAACUGUGACAUUAAAGAAAGAGGGAAAGCUGUGAAAGAUGACUUCCUGAAGAUUAUCAUUGCUGAAUUAGCAAAAAGGCUGAAGAGUUCAAGGAAAAAACUUAUGCAAAAAGCUCUAAGAAUGAGGACCUCCAAGUCUUCAAGCAGGAAAGAUAGCAACUGUGGGGUGAAGCAACCUGCAGAUAUAUAGGCUCACAUGCAUCAUGAUGAAGUGAAGACAACCAAACUGGAUUUUGAUAGCAACAAUGAAGAUAACCAAGAAGCUAAAUUAUUAGAGGAAGAGUAGAGAGAAUGAAGCUCUUGCUAAGGAAGCAAAUGAAAUAGAAGGAGUGUCAAAUGCAGCUCAAACUACCCAGUUCAAUUUCAUGGCAAAGAACAGAACUGCUCUAGAAGCAUGUAAGAUUAGUGGAGAUGCGGCUAAUGAGGUAGAAAAAUCUGAUGAAACAGUAACAGAUGAAGAAGAUUCUAUUACUUCUCUCUUUCUCAAAUCAUCACAAUGUGAAAGAUGAAAAGAGAAGCUGGCUGCACAUGUAGAAUUUGCUGUUUAACUUGAAAAAGGUGAAGAGGAGCUAUUGAGUGGAAGAAGCAAUGUAGUAACUAAUGAUAUCUGUUAUGUGGAAGAAGCUGGUGGGAAGCCAUGAGGAUGCACUAAAAAGGAGGUGAAAUUAUAGAAAGGAGCCAUUUCUUCAGAAGAAGAAAUGAAGAUGAGAGAUCAUGCCGGUGUCUUGAUGGGAACAAAAGUCUGAUUUGUUACAAACCCAAAUGAAGAAAGGUAGGUAAGGCAAAAGCAGCAACAAGAAGCAAAGACAAACUCGUCAAAAUGGAAUGAACAGUUAAGAAAAGGUGAGUAUUUUUUCCAUUUCCUCAAGGAUGCAUGGCUGCUAAUAAAUUAAAUUAAAACAUAGUAUAUUGCUUGCUUGCUUUUUUGAAAUGAGGGCAUAGUUUGGUUCAGUCUUUUAUUAUAGUUAAUAUCACACACAACUUCAUCAACUGAUGCUGAGAAUUCUCUUUGUCUCUCUCUCUUCCUUCCUUAGAGAUAACCAACCUCAGAACAAAAUGCAUUUACAGCCACUUUGCAUCUCCUAGGGCCUUUUCUAUGUUCCAAAUGUAUUAAUUUAGCUUCUUUUCUAGGUAGCUUACUUGCCAACUUCUUGACUUGGAACCAUUUUCUAGCACCAAAUUUCAACAUAAAAAUUGUUAUCAUUCCAUAAAAAGGACUUAUGCAAAGGCUAAAAGCAAGAUUAAAUCAUUACAACUGUUGAUAGAUUAUACUUAAAGCCAGAUUAAGUGAUUCCUUAGGGUUGAGUUGAGAUUAUACUUGCUAAAUUAGAGAUGCUUUUAUAGAGUAUUUUGUGAACCCUAACUUGACUGCUACUGUAUCGGCUGCAAUUUCUCUGCUGGUGCUAUGCAGUUAUACCAUGUUAUUUUGUUUUCUACCACGGAGAGCAUGUAGCUAAAAAUAUAUUAAAUUAGGGGCUUUCUACAAUAUGUCGCAGGUUUGACUUAAAUGUACAUAAAUCCUCCUGAUAAAAGAAAUCAUUAGAGCUUUUUACAAAAUUAGAUUGAAGGCAACAUGAAAAGAUGAAAAAGUUGAAUUCAUGCAUAUGAGAUAUCAAUUCAGCUAAAACAAUUAAACUUUAAAUAAACUUGAAAAUCAUUAUAAAUGAACCAUUUGGAACUUACAGGAACAUCUGAAUUUGAUAGAACAGAGGUGGCAAUGUCUAACCUUUUUGUCCUUCACUGCAAAACACUUGAUAGAAACCUUUGCUAUGUCUGAACCUGCAAUCUAGGAAUUCUUUUUUUUUUUUUUCUGUUUACUAAUGAACAAAUCAGUCCAGAGUGGUAGCCUGUCAGUGGCAGAUCCUGGUUUCGAUUUUAUCAUAAAAUUGAUUGUCUUUAUUUAACUAUGAAAUGGUCACCAAGAAGCAAUAAUAUAGUUUACAAGAUUACAGAAACACAGAAGACAUGUAAUUAAUUUUGACAAUCUGUACCUUGUUUUCUUAUGACCACUAUAUGACUCAACUUUUUUAUCAUAUCAAAGUUUAAUUUCAGUCAAUAUUGAAAAUUGCUAGUUAUAUGCCUGAAAUAUUAGAAAGUGUCAGUGUGGUGUUUUGGUUAUCAAAGUUAUAAAUCAGAAAUCACCAUUACGGACCACAUAAUUUAGAGAACUUGAACCUGCAUGUGUGCAUCAGUUUUCACACUUUGUGAGUGUACUUUAGUUUGUGGAGACUACUGGUUGACUGGAUGAAAUGAUACAAUCACUUUCACGGGACUUUAAUUGAUUGUCAGAGAAGACCUACAAAUGCAAAAAGGAAGUAGAAUGAAUAGUUGAUUGGCUAAAAAAAAUAAUAAUUGACAAAAUUGUCCAACAAAUGUGAAGAGAUUAAUUACAA